Molecule: long non-coding RNA, 3441 nt
Organism: Apodemus sylvaticus (European woodmouse)
Lineage: Eukaryota; Metazoa; Chordata; Mammalia; Rodentia; Muridae
Exons: 3
Source: RefSeq, a predicted model, not a curated record
GGCAAAGAUCAACCUACUUUAACGACAGAGGCAGCUUUUGAGGUGAGGAUCUCAAAGCCCGUGAUAUCUCAAACACAGCUAACGAGAAAGAAUUCUGACUGUCAUCUGGACCCAAGAGACUUGAGGUUGGCAGCACAAACCCCACCCCCAGCCCCACUCCAGCCCUGCUCCCAGCUAUCUCGGAGUAGCUUGGCCUCCAGGAAAGCAGCUAAAGUCAAAUACACUCGGAGCAGGUUUUUCUCAGGGGUUCCAGCAACAGUUCCUGAAGCCUUCUUAUAUAGAUCCAGUCACCUGUCUGGAAACAGUGAGGAGUCGCUGGCAUGCCUGGAGCAUUUAAGGCAAAUCUCAUAUUGUGGGACACCUCCUGGGAGGGCCCAGUGGGCACCAAAGGAGUUGGGGUAUCAACGAGGAUCUCUGGGGGGGGCAGGUUAAAAUGGCAGGGGCUGUUCAGAAACAAGGGGGAGAGGCACCACCCAGCCUGAGUCAGUCUCCAAGGUCAAUUUAGUUAUGGUUUCUCAUAGGGUUUUGUUUAUUUUCUCUACCUGUCUUGAGCCCUGGGGACAGUAUGUCCAAUAAUGUUUUCAAUUAGUCUCCAAUAUCUGUCAAUUUCUGACUUACCUUAGAAACAGAACCAUUGUCUGAUCCAAUUACCUUGGGCACUCUGAAACUCGGGAAAAUUUCUUCUAACCUUGGCAGCUGUUUCCUGCUUACUGGGGAAAGUCUCAACCCAUCUAGAGAAAAUAUCUAUAAAUGCUAGAAGGUAUUCAUAACCAUAUUCUCCUGCCUUAGCUUUUAUAAAAUCUCUUAAUUUACUCUAGGCUGUCCUCUUCUAUGUCUUUUGCCCUGUUUACUCUUUGCUACAUAAGCAUUUACUUGCUGGCAUAUCUUACACUGUUCUAUUAUCUCUCUAGCCUAAAACCUGAGUCAUAAAUAUAUAUGUUAGGUCCCUUAACUGCCAGGACAAGGUUUUUUAAUGAAUGUUUCUUUUUUUUUUAAAAGAUUUAUUUAUUUAUUUAUUAUAUGUAAGUACACUGUAGCUGUUUUCAGACACCGGAAGAGGGUGUCAGAUCUCUUUUCGGGUGGUUGUGAGCCACCAUGUGGUUGCUGGGAUUUGAACUCAUGACCUUCGGAAGAGCAGUCGGUGCUCUUACCCACUGAACCAUCUCUCCAGCCCCCCAGGACAAGGUUUUUAAUCCCUUAAAUGAUUCCAUCUGUGCAUUUGGCCUAGUGAGUCUUUGGCUUACUUUCUGAGGAGUAUAGUUCUCCCUUCUUGUGUGCACCUUCUCUUGGUAAUAGUUGGUAGGGUGGCAAGCAAUCUCAGCAUAUUUUAAGUGAGACUGUUUCUUAAUUUUGUCCCAUUUCCCAAUGGGUGUCUCUUACAGACCCAUAACCACUAUAGGCUCCUGCAUAUCCAUUCCUGGAGCCACUUGCUCUGCCUGGUUAUUACCCAUUGAAUCUUUUCUCUUUUGAUGUCCUGGGCAGUGAAUAAUACUCAUAGUUGCCAGCUUCAUUAGGGCAUCUAAGAGGUCCAAGAUUUCCUGUUGGUUUCCUCUGAUGUGAGCAGUCCUCUUGGCAUAUAUCCCUGUGGACAUGGAGUGUGGCAAAGGCAUACCUGUUAUCCGUAUGGAUGUUGAUUUUCUUGCUGGUCCCAAGUUCCAAGGUCUUGGUGAGGGCAACUAGCUCCACUUUCUGCAUUGACAUGCCAGGGGGUAAAGAUUCCUCUACCCAGAUGACAUUUGUGCCAUCCACCAUAGCAGCACCUGCUUAUCUCUGUCCAUCAUGGAGAAAACUGCUCCUGUCUGUAGCGACUUUCAGCAGGGGUCAGUCUCUCUUUUUGGGCCAGUUAGCUCCAUUCCAUUGGGCAAGAAGCAAAUCUUCCCCCCUCCCAUUUUGGAGCGUAUGUCUUGUUCCAACAGAGAGUAGGAACAGUCUGGAGUGACCCUAAAUGAAUGGGCUACCCGUCCCAUCCCUAGGUCCACUGUUCUUUAGGUAGUCCAUGAAUACAUUUUUGGUGCCAGUGGCUUCUUGGACCCAAGAUCUUUUCUUGGAAACAGUGCCAUUAGCUUGGAAGACCAAGUGUUGCGCCCCUGUGUCCAUCAAGAACUGAGUGGUUUCUCUUUCACUCCCACAGUUAUCCAGGGUUGGGGGAGGUGGUCAGAACCCCAUCUCCCCUAGUCACUGUCUUCACCCAGGGCUAACACCUGGGUUUGCCAUUUGGGGCCACUUUUCCCAAGACCUGGGAAUUCCUGCCCCCGUCUUCUGUUAGGGCACACUCUGGCUCAGUGGUCUCUUUCCUUAUAGUAUGCACACUGGUCCUUUUCUGUCUCUCCUGCUUUUUCUAACUAUUAUAACCAGGAUUCUCUGUAGCUUCUUCCUUCUCGGUCGUUUUUUUUUUCCUUUCUUUUUCUCUGUUCCUUCUCCUCCUCUGUCUCCCUGUCUCAGCAAACUGCACUAAAUCCUUCUACAGACCUUCUCAGCAACCUGCACCAAAUCCCUCUAGCCUCUGAAGCUUUUUCCUGAUAUCUCUACCAGCCCAGUCUAUAAAAGCCAUUGUCACAGUAGCUUUAUAUUCCUUGCCCCUGGAGUCAUAGUGUGUAUAUUGACAGAAUGCCUCUAUGAGCUGCUCUAGAAAAGCUGCAGCUGACUGAUCUGGUCCCUGCUUAAUCUCACAUAUCUUGGUCAAAUUUAUGGGCUGCCAUGCCCUCAAGACCUGCCAAUGGAGUCUGGUGUUGGUCCUUCAGAUGCCUCUUACCUUUUGUCUGAGGGGGUAUUCUUUUUGGCUUCCUGUAUUACAAAUAAAACAGUCUCAAAGAGAUUAAUUAGUCUCUUGGGAAAUAUGUCCUUAGUGAGAAAGCUACUGUGGUAUCAGGAUAGGUGGUCUCAGGUCCUCUCCUGCUCCACUCUGUGGUCCUCUCUAAAUAUCAGUUGAGCAUAAUUAUUACCAUUUUGUAAAUUAUAAACCAUAAGAUCGACAUAACACAUAGUUUAUCAUCCCUUUCAAUUAAACAGAACCCUUUCAUCUGUAUUAUCUUAAAAGACUGUCAGAAUUAAUACUUAAUUAACAUUGUAAGAAUUGACUCAUGUCUUGGCUUUAAAUGUCACCUGAAAAUCAUUUAUUUAAAUCUAUAUCAGCUUUCUCAAGAUUAAACAGCUUAGGCUGUCUAUGAGACUAACAGUCUUUAACCCCAUCAGAAAUCUAAGAGUGACCAAUAUUAACUGAAAAUAUCAUAUUCUGUGGAUUUUUGACAUUUUUGAAAACCAAUUAUCUAUGUAAAGUAAUGUGGACUGUUGUCUGUUAAACUAUCUUCAGCUAUUUGUGAUUAAAACCUAUAAAACACCCUAAUAAGAAACUCAGAGCCUUAUAUUUCUAUUUGGCCAUAAACUCACAGGCUUAAACAUCUCAGAUCUGUAAUAAUAACAGCAAAGAAGGACUGGGGGUAA